RNAcentral lists this ribosomal RNA (503 nucleotides) under uncultured bacterium. RNAcentral's name for it is "partial 16S ribosomal RNA". It matches the Rfam family "Bacterial small subunit ribosomal RNA", at positions 30 to 523 of the family's 1533-position model. The record is from RNAcentral.
AUUGAACGCUGGCGGCAGGCUUAACACAUGCAAGUCGAGCGGGGUGAUGGUGCUUGCACUAUCACUUAGCGGCGGACGGGUGAGUAAUGCUUAGGAAUCUACCUAUUAGUGGGGGACAACAUCUCGAAAGGGAUGCUAAUACCGCAUACGUCCUACGGGAGAAAGCAGGGGAUCACUUGUGACCUUGCGCUAAUAGAUGAGACUAAGUCGGAUUAGCUAGUUGGUGGGGUAAAGGCCUACCAAGGCGACGAUCUGUAGCGGGUCUGAGAGGAUGAUCCGCCACACUGGGACUGAGACACGGCCCAGACUCCUACGGGAGGCAGCAGUGGGGAAUAUUGGACAAUGGGGGGAACCCUGAUCCAGCCAUGCCGCGUGUGUGAAGAAGGCCUUAUGGUUGUAAAGCACUUUAAGCGAGGAGGAGGCUCUUUUGGUUAAUACCCAAGAUGAGUGGACGUUACUCGCAGAAUAAGCACCGGCUAACUCUGUGCCAGCCGCCGCAGUAA